This 87-nucleotide transfer RNA is filed under the name Escherichia coli. Its description in RNAcentral is "tRNA-Leu". It matches the Rfam family "tRNA". From Rfam's summary of the family: Transfer RNA (tRNA) molecules are approximately 80 nucleotides in length. RNAcentral also lists the same sequence under 5 other names. The record is from RNAcentral. Lineage: Bacteria; Pseudomonadati; Pseudomonadota; Gammaproteobacteria; Enterobacterales; Enterobacteriaceae.
GCGAAGGUGGCGGAAUUGGUAGAUGCGCUAGCUUCAGGUGUUAGUGUCCUUACGGACGUGGGGGUUCAAGUCCCCCCCCUCGCACCA